Molecule: unclassified non-coding RNA, 233 nt
Filed under: uncultured fungus
Lineage: Eukaryota; Fungi
Also listed under: 1 other name
Description: sequence contains ITS2
Source: RNAcentral
AUCUCUCACAGAACCGACUUGUUUCAAACUUGCCGGUCUCUGUUGAUGUUGGAGGUUGCGGAAGUCCUGCCGAAAGGCUGGGGAAAUCGCUCCUCUCAAAUGCAUUGGUGCAGCCCGCUGCGCAGUCCAUACAACGUUCUAGGUUCGUCCAACUCGUUGCUCGACUGUUGCAAACCAUUUGGUGCAGCACCUAAAGCCCGCCUCGUGCCUCGUGCUCCUGGCAUAACUUCAUU